Molecule: non-coding RNA, 30 nt
Filed under: Mus musculus (house mouse)
Lineage: Eukaryota; Metazoa; Chordata; Mammalia; Rodentia; Muridae
Source: RNAcentral
UCUAAAGGUCCAGCACUUUGUCAGGUCAGU